This 73-nucleotide transfer RNA is filed under the name Camelus ferus (Wild Bactrian camel). It matches the Rfam family "tRNA". Rfam says of the family: Transfer RNA (tRNA) molecules are approximately 80 nucleotides in length. Their secondary structure includes four short double-helical elements and three loops (D, anti-codon, and T loops). Further hydrogen bonds mediate the characteristic L-shaped molecular structure. tRNAs have two regions of fundamental functional importance: the anti-codon, which is responsible for specific mRNA codon recognition, and the 3' end, to which the tRNAs corresponding amino acid is attached (by aminoacyl-tRNA synthetases). tRNAs cope with the degeneracy of the genetic code in two manners: having more than one tRNA (with a specific anti-codon) for a particular amino acid; and 'wobble' base-pairing, i.e. permitting non-standard base-pairing at the 3rd anti-codon position. Lineage: Eukaryota; Metazoa; Chordata; Mammalia; Artiodactyla; Camelidae. The record is from Rfam by way of RNAcentral.
CGGGUUAUAGCUCAAGUGGUAGAGCACAUGCUUAGCAUGCAUGAGGUCCUUGGUUCAAUCUCCAGUACCACUU